RNAcentral lists this ribosomal RNA (468 nucleotides) under uncultured bacterium. Its description in RNAcentral is "partial 16S ribosomal RNA". It matches the Rfam family "Bacterial small subunit ribosomal RNA", at positions 28 to 507 of the family's 1533-position model. The record is from RNAcentral.
GACGAACGCUGGCGGCGUGCUUAACACAUGCAAGUCGAACGGAAAGGCCCUGCUUUUGUGGGGUGCUCGAGUGGCGAACGGGUGAGUAACACGUGAGUAACCUGCCCUUGACUUUGGGAUAACUUCAGGAAACUGGGGCUAAUACCGGAUAGGAGCUCCUGCUGCAUGGUGGGGGUUGGAAAGUUUCGGCGGUUGGGGGUGGACUCGCGGCUUAUCAGCUUGUUGGUGGGGUAGUGGCUUACCAAGGCUUUGACGGGUAGCCGGCCUGAGAGGGUGACCGGCCACAUUGGGACUGAGAUACGGCCCAGACUCCUACGGGAGGCAGCAGUGGGGAAUAUUGCACAAUGGGCGGAAGCCUGAUGCAGCAACGCCGCGUGCGGGAUGACGGCCUUCGGGUUGUAAACCGCUUUCGCCUGCGACGAAGCGUGAGUGACGGUAAUGGGUAAAGAAGCACCGGCUAACUACGUG